GUCGUACAGGUCUCCGUAGGUGAACCUGCGGAGGGAUCAUUACACAAAUAUGAAGGCGGGCUGGAACCUCUCGGGGUUACAGCCUUGCUGAAUUAUUCACCCUUGUCUUUUGCGUACUUCUUGUUUCCUUGGUGGGUUCGCCCACCACUAGGACAAACAUAAACCUUUUGUAAUUGCAAUCAGCGUCAGUAACAAAUUAAUAAUUACAACUUUCAACAACGGAUCUCUUGGUUCUGGCAUCGAUGAAGAACGCAGCGAAAUGCGAUAAGUAGUGUGAAUUGCAGAAUUCAGUGAAUCAUCGAAUCUUUGAACGCACAUUGCGCCCUUUGGUAUUCCAAAGGGCAUGCCUGUUCGAGCGUCAUUUGUACCCUCAAGCUUUGCUUGGUGUUGGGCGUCUUGUCUCUAGCUUUGCUGGAGACUCGCCUUAAAGUAAUUGGCAGCCGGCCUACUGGUUUCGGAGCGCAGCACAAGUCGCACUCUCUAUCAGCAAAGGUCUAGCAUCCAUUAAGCCUUUUUUUCAACUUUUGACCUCGGAUCAGGUAGGGAUACCCGCUGAGCUUAAGCAUAUC
RNAcentral lists this ribosomal RNA (569 nucleotides) under uncultured fungus. RNAcentral's name for it is "eukaryotic LSU rRNA". The stretch from base 208 to 361 matches the Rfam family "5.8S ribosomal RNA". The record is from RNAcentral. Lineage: Eukaryota; Fungi.